UACGUAGGAGGCGAGCGUUGUCCGGAGUUACUGGGCGUAAAGCGUGGGUAGGCGGCUCUGUGCGUCUGUGGUGAAAUCUCCCGGCUUACCUGGGAGGGGCUACGGAUACGGCAGGGCUUGAGGGCGUGAGAGGCUUGUAGAACUCCCGGUGGACCAGUGAAAUGGGUAGAGAUCGGGAAGAAUACCAGUGGUGCAGACGGCAAGCUGGCGCGUACCUGACGCUGAGCCACGAAAGCAUGGGGAGCAAACAGG
This 252-nucleotide ribosomal RNA is filed under the name uncultured bacterium. RNAcentral describes it as "partial 16S ribosomal RNA". It matches the Rfam family "Bacterial small subunit ribosomal RNA", at positions 524 to 776 of the family's 1533-position model. The record is from RNAcentral.